AGGAUGAACGCUGGCGGCGUGCCUAACACAUGCAAGUCGAACGUGAGGGUGUAGCAAUAUACCUGAAAGUGGCGAACGGGUGAGUAACACGUAGGUAACCUGCCGCGCAGAGGGGGAUAACGACUAGAAAUGGUCGCUAACACCGCAUGGUACUACUUUAGUGGGAACUAAAGUGGUUAAAACUUUGGUGCUGCGCGAGGGGCCUGCGUCCGAUUAGUUAGUUGGUGAGGUAAUGGCUCACCAAGACGAUGAUCGGUAGCUGGUCUGAGAGGAUGAUCAGUCACACGGGAACUGAGACACGGUCCCGACUCCUACGGGGGGCAGCAGUGAGGAAUAUUGCACAAUGGACGCAAGUCUGAUGCAGCAACGCCGCGUGGAGGAUGAAGGCCCUUGGGUCGUAAACUCCUUUUUCAGGGUAAGAGAAUGGACGGUACCUGAAGAAUAAGUCACGGCUAACUACGUGCCAGCAGCCGC
RNAcentral lists this ribosomal RNA (474 nucleotides) under uncultured bacterium. Its description in RNAcentral is "SSU rRNA". It matches the Rfam family "Bacterial small subunit ribosomal RNA", at positions 26 to 518 of the family's 1533-position model. The record is from RNAcentral.